UGGCACUUUCAGUGUCCGAGUUGUAAUUUGAAGAAGGUAUCUUUGGGUCUGGCUCUUGUCUAUGUUUCUUGGAACAGAACGUCACAGAGGGUGAGAAUCCCGUGCGAUGAGAUGUCCCAGACCUAUGUAAAGUUCCUUCGAAGAGUCGAGUUGUUUGGGAAUGCAGCUCUAAGUGGGUGGUAAAUUCCAUCUAAAGCUAAAUAUUGGCGAGAGACCGAUAGCGAACAAGUACAGUGAUGGAAAGAUGAAAAGAACUUUGAAAAGAGAGUGAAAAAGUACGUGAAAUUGUUGAAAGGGAAGGGCUUGAGAUCAGACUUGGUAUUUUGUAUGUUACUCUCUCGGGGGUGGCCUUUACAGUUUACCGGGCCAGCAUCAGUUUGAGCGGUAGGAUAAGUGCAAAGAAAUGUGGCACUGCUUCGGUAGUGUGUUAUAGUCUUUGUCGAUACUGCCAGCUUAGACUGAGGACUGCGGCUUCGGCCUAGGAUGUUGGCAUAAUGAUCUUAAGUCGCCCGUCUUGAA
RNAcentral lists this ribosomal RNA (519 nucleotides) under Lodderomyces parapsilosis. RNAcentral describes it as "eukaryotic LSU rRNA". It matches the Rfam family "Eukaryotic large subunit ribosomal RNA", at positions 123 to 658 of the family's 3401-position model. The record is from RNAcentral. Lineage: Eukaryota; Fungi; Ascomycota; Pichiomycetes; Serinales; Debaryomycetaceae.